CCGAGUUGUAAUUUGCAGAGGAUGCUUUGGAAUCUGUCCCGUCUCAAGUCCUUUGGAACAGGGCGUCAAGGAGGGUGAAAAUCCCGUAUUUUCGGGCCACAGUUUCCGUGUAAAGCUCCUUCGAAGAGUCGAGUUGUUUGGGAAUGCAGCUCUAAGUGGGAGGUAAAUUUCUUCCAAAGCUAAAUAUCUGCUAGAGACCGAUAGCGCACAAGUAGAGUGAUCGAAAGAUGAAAAGCACUUUGAAAAGAGAGUUAAAAAGCACGUGAAAUUGUUGAAAGGGAAGCUCAUGCAGUCAGACAUGGUGUCGUCGGCUCAGCCUUUUGGUGUAUUCCGACGAUGCCAGGCUAGCAUCAGUCGGGGCAGCUGGAUAAAAGUUUUGGGAAUGUAGCUCCUCGGAGUGUUAUAGCCCGAUUCAGAAUGCAGUUCGUUCCGACUGAGGACCGCUUACAGGAUGCUGGCA
This 460-nucleotide ribosomal RNA is filed under the name Marcelaria cumingii. RNAcentral's name for it is "eukaryotic LSU rRNA". It matches the Rfam family "Eukaryotic large subunit ribosomal RNA", at positions 138 to 631 of the family's 3401-position model. The record is from RNAcentral. Lineage: Eukaryota; Fungi; Ascomycota; Dothideomycetes; Trypetheliales; Trypetheliaceae.